GAAAGACUCUUCUCGGCCGGUGUUGGAGGCCUCUCUCUGUCGGGCGGGGGUGGUUUCGAACCACAGCGUCGGUACAAGCCUAACCUUUUUGGUUCGUGUCUGUGGUGUCCACGGAGAACACACUGGUGAGAGGGGGGAGGGAAGAUCCCGAAGUUGGUGCUGUAACACGAGUCGUGAGAUUUUUGUCAACCACUCGUUCCUGCAAUACAUUAUUUUGAUCACGUUUGCAUAUAUCCAAAUACAUAAGUACAUACGACCCGUUUCAUAAAGUAUCGUACAGGGUUUUUCAAAAAUCGCUUUAGUAAAAUAAAAACAUUAUUAUAUUUUUAUUACCAGGUAUUCAGAAUAAUGGGAUUCAUGGACCCAUAUUUUUUUUAAUCGAUACUGUAACUGUAAACAUGUGAUAUGCAAUGUAUUAUCAAAAUUUAUAUCUUCGAAUGAAUAAUUGAAAAAUAUUGCAAUUCUAUUAAAUAAAAAUAUUCAAGUUUGGUCUAUUGUUUUUAUUUCCUUGGUAAAGCUACUUUUGAGAUAUUCUGUGUUUUAGUGCAUAGCCUAGUGCAUCCCUCACAUGCAUUGCGUAAAAUUAUGAAACGAGUAUCAUCUAAUGUUUCUUCGUUGAUGUGAAAUCGUGUAAGAUGGAUAAAAAGUUGUCGACCUGAACGUGGAGAUAAAUCAUUGCGAUUAGAUAAAGAAAAAAUAGUUUAGGAAUGGUCAAAUAUAUUCCUUUAGAAAGUCCAAACUAUUUUUCUUUCGUGAAAUAGAAAAACGAAAAUUGCAUAAGAUUUUUGUAUUAAAUCGUCAAGAUCUUUUCAUUUCAGUUAAUUAAUUAUUGUGAAAGAAAACAACUUUCUAAAUCGAUAACAAUUUGUCUUCGCGGUCGAUAAAAUAGAUUUGACUGGAAAAAUUUCUUCUUGUGAAAAAUUAUUCAUUCUCAUCGAGGGAGUAU
RNAcentral lists this long non-coding RNA (946 nucleotides) under Polistes fuscatus (common paper wasp). Its description in RNAcentral is "uncharacterized LOC122519948". Lineage: Eukaryota; Metazoa; Arthropoda; Insecta; Hymenoptera; Vespidae. The record is from RNAcentral.